UCAGAAGGCACACCCGGAGAACUGAAACAUCUUAGUACCCGGAGGAAGAGAAAGAAAAUUCGAUUCCCUUAGUAGCGGCGAGCGAAACGGGAAGAGCCCAAACCAACAAGCUUGCUUGUUGGGGUUGUAGGACACUCUAUACGGAGUUACAAAGGACGACAUUAGACGAAUCAUCUGGAAAGAUGAAUCAAAGAAGGUAAUAAUCCUGUAGUCGAAAAUGUUGUCUCUCUUGAGUGGAUCCUGAGUACGACGGAGCACGUGAAAUUCCGUCGGAAUCUGGGAGGACCAUCUCCUAAGGCUAA
RNAcentral lists this ribosomal RNA (302 nucleotides) under Staphylococcus aureus. RNAcentral's name for it is "partial 23S ribosomal RNA". It matches the Rfam family "Bacterial large subunit ribosomal RNA", at positions 172 to 469 of the family's 2925-position model. The record is from RNAcentral. Lineage: Bacteria; Bacillati; Bacillota; Bacilli; Caryophanales; Staphylococcaceae.